GUUCAAUUAGGUUGGUUUAAAUAAUGAAACCACCUUGACCCAUUCUCCCUGCGCCACCUCACUUCCACUGCGCCCAUUUGAAUUCACGAGAAGGAAGUUCUCAUGAAUUUUUCCUCACGUAAAGCCCUCCUCACACUCUACUUUAAUGCACCAAAUGAGUGGAUAAGGAUGAUUGGUUGGCCAUUCAAAUUCAAAACAAAGUUUGAAUUUGAAUGAGCAACCAAUCUUAGCGCCUUGACCUUAUCCUCUUUUAGCGCUC
RNAcentral lists this long non-coding RNA (259 nucleotides) under Elaeis guineensis (African oil palm). RNAcentral describes it as "long non-coding RNA (EGUI_LNC008488)". Lineage: Eukaryota; Viridiplantae; Streptophyta; Magnoliopsida; Arecales; Arecaceae. The record is from RNAcentral.